Molecule: ribosomal RNA, 253 nt
Filed under: uncultured bacterium
Lineage: Bacteria
Description: partial 16S ribosomal RNA
Rfam family: Bacterial small subunit ribosomal RNA
Source: RNAcentral
UACGGAGGGUGCGAGCGUUGUCCGGAAUCACUGGGCGUAAAGGGCGCGUAGGCGGCCUGAUAAGUAGGGGGUGAAAUCCUGCGGCUUAACCGCAGGGCUGCCUUCUAGACUGUCAGGCUAGAGCACAGUAGAGGCAGGUGGAAUUCCCGGUGUAGCGGUGGAAUGCGUAGAGAUCGGGAAGAACAUCAGUGGCGAAGGCGGUCUGCUGGGCCGUUGCUGACGCUGAGGCGCGACAGCGUGGGGAGCGAACAGG